GACGCACCGUGCGAACGUUAUUCGGAAUCACUGGGCUUAAAGGGCGCGUAGGCGGGCCACCAAGUCAGGGGUGAAAUCCCACGGCUCAACCGUGGAAGUGCCUUUGAUACUGGUGGCCUCGAGGGAGGCAGGGGCGUGCGGAACUUUGGGUGGAGCGGUGAAAUGCGUAGAUAUCCAAAGGAACACCGGUGGCGAAAGCGGCGCGCUGGACCUCUUCUGACGCUGAGGCGCGAAAGCCAGGGGAGCAAACGGG
RNAcentral lists this ribosomal RNA (253 nucleotides) under uncultured bacterium. RNAcentral's name for it is "partial 16S ribosomal RNA". It matches the Rfam family "Bacterial small subunit ribosomal RNA", at positions 524 to 776 of the family's 1533-position model. The record is from RNAcentral.